This 486-nucleotide ribosomal RNA is filed under the name uncultured bacterium. RNAcentral's name for it is "partial 16S ribosomal RNA". It matches the Rfam family "Bacterial small subunit ribosomal RNA", at positions 30 to 507 of the family's 1533-position model. The record is from RNAcentral.
AUUGAACGCUGGCGGCAUGCCUUACACAUGCAAGUCGAACGGCAGCACGGGUGCUUGCACCUGGUGGCGAGUGGCGAACGGGUGAGUAAUACAUCGGAACAUGUCCUGUAGUGGGGGAUAGCCCGGCGAAAGCCGGAUUAAUACCGCAUACGAUCUACGGCUGAAAGCGGGGGACCUUCGGGCCUCGCGCUAUAGGGUUGGCCGAUGGCUGAUUAGCUAGUUGGUGGGGUAAAGGCCUACCAAGGCGACGAUCAGUAGCUGGUAUGAGAGGACGACCAGCCACACUGGGACUGAGACACGGCCCAGACUCCUACGGGAGGCAGCAGUGGGGAAUUUUGGACAAUGGGCGAAAGCCUGAUCCAGCAAUGCCGCGUGUGUGAAGAAGGCCUUCGGGUUGUAAAGCACUUUUGUCCGGAAAGAAAUCCUUGGCCCUAAUACGGUCGGGGGAUGACGGUACCGGAAGAAUAAGCACCGGCUAACUACGUG